This 393-nucleotide ribosomal RNA is filed under the name uncultured bacterium. RNAcentral describes it as "partial 16S ribosomal RNA". It matches the Rfam family "Bacterial small subunit ribosomal RNA", at positions 523 to 918 of the family's 1533-position model. The record is from RNAcentral.
AUACGGAGGAUGCGAGCGUUAUCCGGAUUUAUUGGGUUUAAAGGGAGCGUAGGUGGGAUAUUAAGUCAGCUGUGAAAGUUUGGGGCUCAACCUUAAAAUUGCAGUUGAUACUGGUUUCCUUGAGUACGGUAUAGGUGGGCGGAAUUCGUGGUGUAGCGGUGAAAUGCUUAGAUAUCACGAAGAACUCCGAUCGCGAAGGCAGCUCACCGGGCCGGAACUGACACUGAUGCUCGAAAGUGCGGGUAUCAAACAGGAUUAGAUACCCUGGUAGUCCGCACAGUAAACGAUGAAUACUCGCUGUUUGCGAUACACGGUAAGCGGCCAAGCGAAAGCGUUAAGUAUUCCACCUGGGGAGUACGCCGGCAACGGUGAAACUCAAAUGAAUUGGCGGGG